This 73-nucleotide transfer RNA is filed under the name Bos taurus (domestic cattle). It matches the Rfam family "tRNA". From Rfam's summary of the family: Transfer RNA (tRNA) molecules are approximately 80 nucleotides in length. Their secondary structure includes four short double-helical elements and three loops (D, anti-codon, and T loops). Further hydrogen bonds mediate the characteristic L-shaped molecular structure. tRNAs have two regions of fundamental functional importance: the anti-codon, which is responsible for specific mRNA codon recognition, and the 3' end, to which the tRNAs corresponding amino acid is attached (by aminoacyl-tRNA synthetases). tRNAs cope with the degeneracy of the genetic code in two manners: having more than one tRNA (with a specific anti-codon) for a particular amino acid; and 'wobble' base-pairing, i.e. permitting non-standard base-pairing at the 3rd anti-codon position. The record is from Rfam by way of RNAcentral. RNAcentral also lists the same sequence under 5 other names. Lineage: Eukaryota; Metazoa; Chordata; Mammalia; Artiodactyla; Bovidae.
UCCCUGGUGGUCCAGAGGCUAAGACUCUGCACUCCCAAUCAAGGGGUCCCAAGUUCGAUCCUUGGUCAGGGAA